ACAAUGGAGAGUUUGAUCCUGGCUCAGGAUGAACGCUAGCGGGAGGCCUAACACAUGCAAGCCGAGCGGUAGAGAUCUUUCGGGAUCUUGAGAGCGGCGUACGGGUGCGGAACACGUGUGCAACCUGCCUUUAUCUGGGGGAUAGCCUUUCGAAAGGAAGAUUAAUACCCCAUAAUAUACUGAAUGGCAUCAUUCGGUAUUGAAAACUCCGGUGGAUAGAGAUGGGCACGCGCAAGAUUAGAUAGUUGGUGAGGUAACGGCUCACCAAGUAUACGAUCUUUAGGGGGCCUGAGAGGGUGAUCCCCCACACUGGUACUGAGACACGGACCAGACUCAUACGGGAGCCAGCAGUGAGGAAUAUUGGACAAUGGGUGAGAGCCUGAUCCAGCCAUCCCGCGUGAAGGACGACGGCCCUAUGGGUUGUAAACUUCUUUUGUAUAGGGAUAAACCUACCCUCGUGAGGGUAGACUGAAGG
This 475-nucleotide non-coding RNA is filed under the name Oryza sativa Indica Group (long-grained rice). RNAcentral's name for it is "Bacterial small subunit ribosomal RNA". It matches the Rfam family "Bacterial small subunit ribosomal RNA", at positions 1 to 475 of the family's 1533-position model. The record is from Rfam by way of RNAcentral. Lineage: Eukaryota; Viridiplantae; Streptophyta; Magnoliopsida; Poales; Poaceae.